UUAACGGUGGCGGCUGGUUCUGCGCCGGAUGCGGGAGAGGGGCGGGCGCCAUUGUGCUUCGCUGCGGACUGCUUUUCCACAGUCACGGGCCUAGAACUCCGAGGAGGAAGGCGACGGUGCGGGUCGCUGCGAGCGGAACGCGCCCUGGUCAGUGCUGGCUCAGGAGCAGGGAAAAAUCUUUAAGAAUGGAGUCUAAACCUUCAAGGAUUCCAAGAAGAAUUUCUGUUCAACCCUCCAGCUCCUUAAGUGCUAGGAUGAUGUCUGGAAGCAGAGGAAGUAGUUUAAAUGAUACCUAUCACUCAAGAGACUCUUCAUUUAGAUUGGAUUCUGAAUAUCAGUCUACAUCAGCAUCAGCAUCUGCAUCACCAUUUCAAUCUACAUGGUAUAGUGAAUCUGAGAUAACUCAGGGAGCACGCUCAAGAUCGCAGAACCAGCAACGGGAUCAUGAUUCAAAAAGACCUAAACUUUCUUGUACAAAUUGUACUACCUCAGCUGGGAGAAAUGUUGGAAAUGGUUUAAAUGCGGUAUCAGAUUCAUCUCGGAGGCAUAAUCAAGUUCCUAGAUCUUCAUCAGUGGUACUUGGAUCAUUUGGAACAGACUUAAUGAGAGAGAGGAGAGAUUUGGAGAGAAGAACAGAUUCUUCUAUUAGUAAUCUUAUGGAUUAUAGUCACCGAAGUGGUGAUUUCACAACUUCAUCAUACGUUCAAGACCGAGUUCCUUCAUAUUCACAAGGAGCAAGACCAAAAGAAAAUUCAGUGAGCACUUUACAGUUGAAUACAUCAUCCACAAACCACCAGUUGCCUUCUGAACAUCAGACCAUACUAAGUUCUAGGGACUCCAGAAAUUCCUUAAGAUCAAAUUUUUCUUCACGAGAAUCAGAAUCUUCCCGAAACAAUACACAACCUGGAUUUUCUUAUAUUUCAAGUAGAGAUGAAACCCCAAACAUUAGCAAUCCAGAAAGGGUUGUUUCAUCUCAAAGACCAUUUCAAGAAUCUUCUGACAAUGAAGGUAGGCGGACAACCAGGAGAUUGCUGUCACGCAUAGCUUCUAGCAUGUCAUCUACUUUUUUUUCACGAAGAUCUAGUCAGGAUUCUUUGAAUACAAGAUCAUUGAGUUCUGAAAAUUCUUAUGUUUCUCCAAGAAUCUUGACAGCUUCACAGUCCCGUAGUAAUGUACCGUCGACUUCUGAAGUUCCCGAUAAUAGGGCAUCUGAAGCUUCUCAGGGAUUUCGAUUUCUUAGGCGAAGAUGGGGUUUGUCAUCUCUUAGCCACAAUCAUAGCUCUGAGUCAGAUUCAGAAAAUUUUAAUCAAGAAUCUGAAGGUAGAAAUACAGGACCAUGGUUAUCUUCCUCACUUAGAAAUAGAUGCACACCUUUGUUCUCUAGAAGGAGGCGAGAGGGAAGAGAUGAAUCUUCAAGGAUACCUACCUCUGAUACACCAUCUAGAGCUCAUAUUUUUAGAAGAGAAUCAAAUGAAGUGGUUCACCUUGAAGCACACAGUGAUCCCCUUGGAGCUGCUGCCAACAGACCGCAAGCAUCUGCGUCAAGCAGUGCCACAGCAGGUGGCUCUACAUCAGAUUCGACUCAAGGUGGAAGAAAUACAGGAAUAGCAGGGAUUCUUCCUGGUUCCUUAUUCCGGUUUGCAGUCCCCCCAGCACUUGGGAGUAAUUUGACCGACAAUGUCAUGAUCACUGUAGAUAUUAUUCCUUCAGGUUGGAAUUCAGCUGAUGGUAAAAGUGAUAAAACUAAAAAUGCACCUUCAAGAGAUCCAGAAAGAUUGCAGAAAAUAAAAGAGAGCCUCCUUUUAGAGGACUCAGAAGAAGAAGAAGGUGACUUAUGUAGAAUUUGUCAAAUGGCAGCUGCAUCAUCAUCUAAUUUGCUGAUAGAGCCAUGCAAGUGCACAGGAAGUUUGCAGUAUGUCCACCAAGAGUGUAUGAAAAAGUGGUUACAGGCCAAAAUUAACUCUGGUUCUUCAUUAGAAGCUGUAACCACCUGUGAACUAUGUAAAGAGAAGUUGGAGCUUAACCUGGAGGAUUUUGAUAUCCAUGAACUACAUAGAGCUCAUGCAAAUGAACAAGUUAGUAUAUUUUGCCUAAUUUGGCUGAGUAUGAGUUUAUCAGCUCUGGUCUCUACCUAGUGGUGUUAUUGCACUUGUGCGAACAAAGCUUUUCUGAUAUGAUGGGAAAUACAAAUGAACCAAGCACACGUGUCCGAUUUAUUAACCUUGCAAGAACUCUUCAGGCACAUAUGGAAGAUCUCGAAACUUCAGAGGAUGAUUCCGAAGAAGAUGGAGACCAUAACAGGACAUUUGAUAUUGCCUAACUUCAUAUAAGACAGAUGGAUGAUCUGUGAACACAAGUGUUUAUUAAAACUGGCAAUUAAAUAUAAAUUAAUUUUGUGGGGGAAUGCCUAAUAAAUACAUUGACUAUAUAUAAAAUGAAUAUAUACAUACACAUGUAUGCCUGUAUAUAUAUAUUCAUUCUCAAGUGUUGCUGAAUUAAAAUUCUGCUGGACUUUUUUAACACAGCAAAUCUGAUGUUUAUAAACUGGUAAUCAAAAAGGUUUUUUUCUUUUAGGUGAGUGGGAAAGUAUUACCCUUGUUUUAAAUAUCUAAGCAAUGCCCAUCAACCCUCUUCUGUGUUCUGAUUACUAUAGUCAUAUUUAUGAAAAAAAGGUUUGUGUUUUAGUCUCUUGCUAGUGAGAAAAGUGGGACAAAAUAUGCGUUUGAAAUUAAAUCCAUAUGGCACCUAAUUAUUUUUCUUUUAAAAUGCCUUAAGUUGCAGUCUCAUUUUGAUAAUCAUUUGCUUCCAGUGUUUAAAAACAAAAACUAAAAAAAUGGGAGAUGGUUCUGAGAAGAGCAUUAUAUUAGGUUUCCAAAUUUAAUUUGAAUUCCAAAUUCACUUAGCAAUAAAAUCUAAUUUUUAAAAAAGUAUAUAAAUAUCAAAUGCAUAAAUGAUGGAUGCAUUUUUGUAUUGAUUUGCAAAAUGCAGAUUAUAUUUGAUAGGCUAUAGUAUGUAGAUAUUCCUUUUAGGAAUAUUACAGCUGUAAAUUAUAUGAGAAUUGCCAGUCAAAUGCUAUUUGGUUUUAAAAAAAAUAUUGCAAUCUCAAGUUAAUGGAAUAUUUUUAAAUCCCACAUUCAGAGUUUAAAACACUGGUUUUCAAUGUGUUUUUUAGUGUUGUCACUUCUUUAUAGAUAAAUAUGAUAUAAAUAACCUGUUUGGAUUCUGGUCGUUUUUAACUGUUACUUGGUAAUUCUGAGCAUUUAUUUGAUGACUUAGUAUUUUUCACUACCUUUGGAUGGCAGAUGAACGUUAUUCACCAUGAAUGGAUCUACACUGUGGUCAUGAGUUGUGUAUACUUACAUAACACUGUAUUUUUUCUUCUGUCAAUACCCUUUAGAUACACUUUAAAACACCUUAAGGUCUGAUGUUAUUGCAACAAACUACUUUUUCAAACCUAAAUAGGAACCAUGUAAUUUCUGAAAAGUGAAUGACAAUUUGCCCACACUUAAGUUUGUUGGUUUUAUGUAAAACAUUGGCUCGAAAUAAAGUGCACACUGAUUUA
This is an RNA transcript of Cebus imitator (Panamanian white-faced capuchin), 3562 nucleotides long. It is a transcript of the gene named membrane associated ring-CH-type finger 7, with no coding region annotated. Lineage: Eukaryota; Metazoa; Chordata; Mammalia; Primates; Cebidae. The record is from RefSeq and is a predicted model, not a curated record. The transcript has 10 exons.